GGGUAGGGGUGAAAGGCCAAUCAAACUCCGUGAUAGCUGGUUCUCCCCGAAAUGCAUUUAGGUGCAGCGUCGCGUGGUGGAUGCCGGAGGUAGAGCACUGGAUGGGCUAGGGGGCCGACAAGCUUACUGAACUCAACCAAACUCCGAAUGCCGGUAUUUCUAGCGUGGCAGUGAGACUGUGGGGGAUAAGCUUCAUAGUCGAGAGGGAAACAGCCCAGAUCACCGGCUAAGGCCCCUAAGCGUGCGCUAAGUGGGAAAGGAUGUGGGAUCGCCCAGACAACCAGGAGGUUGGCUUAGAAGCAGCCAUCCUUGAAAGAGUGCGUAAUAGCUCACUGGUCAAGUGGUCCUGCGCCGACAAUGUAGCGGGGCUCAAGCGCACCGCCGAAGCCGUGGCAUUCCAGCAGAGAUCCGCCGGCCGGGGUUGUGGCCCUGGUGGGUGUAGUCGUUGGGAUGGGUAGGGGAGCGUCGUGCAUCCGGUGAAGCCGCGGGGUGACCCAGUGGUGGAGGGUGUGCGAGUGAGAAUGCAGGCAUGAGUAGCGAAAGCAGAGUGAGAACCUCUGCCGCCGAAUGACCAAGGGUUCCUGGGCCAGGUUAAUCCGCCCAGGGUGAGCCGGGACCUAAGGCGAGGCCGACAGGCGUAGUCGAUGGACAACGGGUUGAUAUUCCCGUGCCCGUGGCAGUGCGCCCGUGAUGAGGCCGGUGAUGCUGACCAUCCGAACCCGCGUGCCGACCUUCGGGUGGGUGCGUCGGGGGAGCGUGGGACCCGAUCCGGUAGUAGUCAAGCGAUGGGGUGACGCAGGAGGGUAGUCCCGCCAGUGAAUGGUAGUACUGGUGUAAGCCGGUAGCCCGACAUCCAGGCAAAUCCGGGUGUCAUGUAAGGGUGAGAGGCGAUGCAUAGCCGAGUGCGGCGAAGUAGGAUGAUCCCAUGCUGCCGAGAAAAGCCUCUAGCGAGUGCUGUUGCGGCCCGUACCCCAAACCGACACAGGUGGUCAGGUAGAGAAUACCGAGGCGAUCGAGUGAACUGUGGUUAAGGAACUCGGCAAAAUACCUCCGUAACUUCGGGAGAAGGAGGGCCAUCGCGCUUGAAGCCCUGCGCGGGCUAGGGCGGGGUGGCCGCAGAGACCAGGCCCAAGCGACUGUUUACUAAAAACACAGGUCCGUGCGAAGUCGCAAGACGAUGUAUACGGACUGACGCCUGCCCGGUGCUGGAACGUUAAGAGGACCUGUUAGCUGGUUUCGGCCGGCGAAGCGGAGAAUUUAAGCGCCAGUAAACGGCGGUGGUAACUAUAACCAUCCUAAGGUAGCGAAAUUCCUUGUCGGGUAAGUUCCGACCUGCACGAAUGGCGUAACGACUUGGGCGCUGUCUCGACCACAGACUCGGCGAAAUUGCACUACGAGUAAAGAUGCUCGUUACGCGCGGCAGGACGGAAAGACCCCGGGACCUUUACUACAGCUUGGUAUUGGUGCUCGGUUCGGCUUGUGUAGGAUAGGUGGGAGACUGGGAAGCGGCCACGCCAGUGGUUGUGGAGUCGUCGUUGAAAUACCACUCUGGUCGAAUUGGGUGUCUCAACCUCGGGCCAUGAUCUGGUUCAGGGACAGUGCCUGGUGGGUAGUUUAACUGGGGCGGUUGCCUCCCAAAAUGUAACGGAGGCGCCCAAAGGUUCCCUCAGCCUGGUUGGCAAUCAGGUGUUGAGUGUAAGUGCACAAGGGAGCUUGACUGUGAGACAGACAUGUCGAGCAGGGACGAAAGUCGGGACUAGUGAUCCGGCACCGCCUGGUGGAAGGGGUGUCGCUCAACGGAUAAAAGGUACCCCGGGG
This 1818-nucleotide ribosomal RNA is filed under the name Pseudonocardia bannensis. RNAcentral describes it as "Pseudonocardia sp. YIM 63101 Bacterial large subunit ribosomal RNA". It matches the Rfam family "Bacterial large subunit ribosomal RNA", at positions 813 to 2473 of the family's 2925-position model. The record is from Rfam by way of RNAcentral. Lineage: Bacteria; Bacillati; Actinomycetota; Actinomycetes; Pseudonocardiales; Pseudonocardiaceae.